Molecule: ribosomal RNA, 396 nt
Filed under: uncultured Mitsuokella sp.
Lineage: Bacteria; Bacillati; Bacillota; Negativicutes; Selenomonadales; Selenomonadaceae
Description: bacterial SSU rRNA
Rfam family: Bacterial small subunit ribosomal RNA
Source: RNAcentral
UGGGGAAUCUUCCGCAAUGGGCGCAAGCCUGACGGAGCAACGCCGCGUGAGUGAAGAAGGGUUUCGACUCGUAAAGCUCUGUUGUCGGGGACGAAUGUGGAGAUGGUGAAUAACCAUUUUCAAUGACGGUACCUGACGAGGAAGCCACGGCUAACUACGUGCCAGCAGCCGCGGUAAUACGGAGGAUGCGAGCGUUAUCCGGAUUUAUUGGGUUUAAAGGUGCGCAGGCGGCGCGCCAAGUCAGCGGUCAAAGUUCCGGGCUCAACCCGGUGUCGCCGUUGAAACUGGCGUGCUCGAGUGCGUGCGAGGAAGGCGGAAUGCGUUGUGUAGCAGUGAAAUGCAUAGAUAUGACGCAGAACUCCGAUUGCGAAGGCAGCUUUCCAGCGCGCUACUGAC